AUACGGAGGGUGCGAGCGUUAUUCGGAAUUACUGGGCGUAAAGCGCGUGUAGGCGGGAGUGCAAGUCUGAUGUGAAAGCCCCGGGCUCAACCCGGGAAGUGCAUUGGAAACUGCAUUUCUUGAGUAUCGGAGAGGAUGGGGGAAUUCCCGGUGUAGAGGUGAAAUUCGUAGAGAUCGGGAGGAAUACCAGUGGCGAAGGCGCCCAUCUGGACGGUAACUGACGC
RNAcentral lists this ribosomal RNA (224 nucleotides) under uncultured bacterium. RNAcentral describes it as "partial 16S ribosomal RNA". It matches the Rfam family "Bacterial small subunit ribosomal RNA", at positions 523 to 746 of the family's 1533-position model. The record is from RNAcentral.